AGUGUUAUGACUUGAUUUGGAAGAAGUAUUCUCAAUUUUUUUAAAAACUGCAGGUACGCAAAUUUUGGGGACGAAAUUUUUUUUUAGGAGGGUGGGAUGUAAGACCCCGGAACUGGGCCCGGUCCAAAUGACCGGCCCAGUCCCAAAACCCCGGCCUCACGUGCGUCGGGAUGGACUGUUUCCAUCCCGAAGAAGAAGGAAGCCCUGUUUUUAGGGCUUCCUCUCCUCCUUAAGACCACCGAGAAGAGCCGCCAGGGAGAAGGGGGGAUCCUUCUUCCUUGGGCUACUGGCCGAGAGAGAGGGAGAGAGCCAUUAAAAUCGGGAUAGCUUUGGCACGGGUGGUCUUC
Molecule: long non-coding RNA, 347 nt
Filed under: Phoenix dactylifera (date palm)
Lineage: Eukaryota; Viridiplantae; Streptophyta; Magnoliopsida; Arecales; Arecaceae
Description: long non-coding RNA (PDAC_LNC021521)
Source: RNAcentral